CUUCACCGAACCGAGCCACAGCGGCCGCUCCGGCUCACGGUCCUGGCCGUAGGUCGCGAGCAGCGCCUGCGCCUC
This 75-nucleotide antisense RNA is filed under the name Streptomyces sp. 846.5. Its description in RNAcentral is "ASpks TB sRNA". It matches the Rfam family "ASpks TB sRNA". The record is from Rfam by way of RNAcentral. Lineage: Bacteria; Bacillati; Actinomycetota; Actinomycetes; Kitasatosporales; Streptomycetaceae.